RNAcentral lists this transfer RNA (74 nucleotides) under Gemmata sp. SH-PL17. RNAcentral's name for it is "tRNA-Val". It matches the Rfam family "tRNA". Rfam says of the family: Transfer RNA (tRNA) molecules are approximately 80 nucleotides in length. Their secondary structure includes four short double-helical elements and three loops (D, anti-codon, and T loops). The record is from RNAcentral. Lineage: Bacteria; Pseudomonadati; Planctomycetota; Planctomycetia; Gemmatales; Gemmataceae.
GGGCGUGUAACUCAGCGGUUAGAGUGCCUCCCUUACAAGGAGGAAGUCGGGGGUUCGAGUCCCUCCACGCCCAC